AUAUUAGAAUUGGCAGUUUGAGGUUGAGUAGGGUUUCUAUGAUAUCUAGAGAUCUACUUGUUGGAUAAAGGUGAAAUUUGGCAUGAUAUUGGAAGACUUAAAGAUCAAGCUACAUACCAAUUUUGAGUUGAAGUUAAUGAUUAAAGAAGGAGAAAUCACUAUUGGAACUUCUGCAUCAUCUUUGAAGUUGGUGGCCAAGUGACAUUAGUGCAAUUUUUGGAGGUUUUCUCACAAUUUAUAAGUUGGAUUGGGCUAAAAUUUCUUGAGCAUAUAGAAGAAUUACAUUGACAAUCGCAUACAAAAUUUCACAUCAAGUGGAUGAUCAAAUUAGAAGUUACAACAUGUCAAAGCUCACUGAUUAGGAUUAAGUUUCAUAAAAAAAAUCUAAAUUGAUUAAAUAUGAAAGUAACAAGGUAAUUGGGAUUUAUGUAUGAUUGAGGCUACCAAGAAGAGUAUUUUUUUUUAGCAAUUUUGAAUUAAAAUUUAGAUUAUAUUCUUCUAAUAUAGAUGAAAUCUAUUAGGAUUUCUUGGAUAUUAUAA
RNAcentral lists this long non-coding RNA (540 nucleotides) under Physcomitrium patens. RNAcentral describes it as "long non-coding RNA (PPAT_LNC003833)". Lineage: Eukaryota; Viridiplantae; Streptophyta; Bryopsida; Funariales; Funariaceae. The record is from RNAcentral.